This 2357-nucleotide long non-coding RNA is filed under the name Gopherus agassizii (Agassiz's desert tortoise). RNAcentral's name for it is "lncRNA (ENSGAGG00000013252.1)". The record is from RNAcentral. Lineage: Eukaryota; Metazoa; Chordata; Testudines; Testudinidae.
CUGGAGUGGAGGCGGGUUGUAAUGGUGGAAUAAAACAGGCGAUCCCGUCUGAAGAGAAGCUCCCUGGGAAGGGGGAGAGGAGACCCACCGAGGGGAAGUUGCGGCGACACAGGACAUUGUAAAAGACAAAAGCCCGGGCACUUACUGACCUUGUGGCAUAAGGAAGGCGUGAGUCUUACCUCUCUCCCUCGGAUGCCGCCCAGCUGUGGGGGUGUGAGCGGAGCGCUCCUCCGGGAUGCAGGGAGGUGAGCAGAGCGGCUCUCCCACGCCCCGGCACCCACACCAGCCCAGCCCGGGGGCAACUGACCAGCUCCUGAGCUUGGGAAUUGGCCUGCGGCGCGGCGCGUUCUGACGCACGGAUGAACUCCCCAGAUCUCUGCGCGGGGCUUGGACCCGAGCGCGCUCCUCCAGCGGCAGCGGCUGGUCCACGCCGGUACCCUCCCAGCUGCAGAAAGCUGGAGGGCUCCGGGCUGCUGCGGCUCGGUGAAAAGUGCGAGCAGGUCCCACUCCGCUCUGCUCAGCCCGUGUGGAAACACGGCCACAUCUCCGCCUCUGCUCAGUCCCUGGGCAAGGGCUGUCACAUCCCUCUGGAGCGCCAGCCACCUCUCUGCCUGCGCCCGGAUCUGCUGCGACCACGAGGAGACCAGCCACAGCCUGGGCAAAAUUAUCCUGCCACCUCUGGGCCUGCCACUCCUGCCAGACCAGGCUAAACCAGGAAUAAUCCAUCAAUGCGACUCCUUGGAUUUCAAUGGUAAGUCAGAUGUGAAAGCAAAAUUAGUACCUGGCGUGUUUCAUCAUCCGUUAUAUAAAGGGCUGCUUCACAGAGAGAAAACAACUCAUGUCCUGGAGUCUGCACUGGCUCCUGGUUAUUUUCCAGGUGGGAGUCAGGCUGUUGGUUUGCAUUUUGACCCAUAAAGCACUAACCAGUGUGGAUCCUGGCGACCUGGUCGCCUCUCUCUACACAUGACAUCAGGGGAGGAGCAUAUAUCAUUGGACCUUUGCAGCCAGAGCCAAAGGCCACUGAAGUUAAUGGAGAGAAUAACAGGGUGACCACCUCCAGAGAACCCCCUCCUGGUGAGGGGCAGCUCUGCAGCAGCACUGCCUCAGCUUCUCUUUUGCAGGGCUCCUCAGAAACUCCACAGCAUGGUUUGGCUACUGCAGUGACUUGGCCUCCUCCUAAACCAUUAACAAAAUCCCACCCCUUUCAGGGCAUACCAAUCCUAAAACAAGCACAAAACCACACAGACUUCAUGCCAGUUUCAGACAGGGCCAAGCCCCUAAUUUCGGAGGGCUUGGUCUGUCUCAUCAGCCCACCUUCUGUCUCUUCUUACAGCCCUUCCCAGGACUGUUCAGUGCCUCCACCGCAGCUCCUCCUAGCCUCCCUCACAUUGCUUUUAAGUGAGCAUCCGCUCCCAUAACUUGCUUCAUAGAAUCAGAGGGUUAGAAGGGACCGUAAGGGACCUCUAGUCUAAACCCCUGCCACGAUGCAGGACUUAUUGUAUCUAACCCAUCCCAGACAGACGGCUCCAGCCUCCGUCUGAAAACCUCCAGAGAAGGAGUUUCCACAAGCUCCCGAGGGGUCUGUCCCAUCGUCCUACUCUUCUUACAGUUAGGAUGUUUUUCCAGAGAUUUAAUCUACAUCUGCUGUGGUGUAGUUUGACCCCAUCACCCCUUGUCCUGCCCUCUGUGGCAAGAGAGAACAACUUUUCUCCAUCUUUUUUAAUGGCAGCCUUCCAAGUAUCUGAACACUGCUAUCAUGUCCCCCCUUAAUCUCCUCUUUUCCAAACAAAACAUAGCCAGUUCCUUCAAUCUUUGCUCGUAUGGCUUGUGUUCCAUCCCUCUCAUCAUCUUUGUCACUCGCCUCUGGAGCCUUUCCAGUUUUUCCACAUCCUUUCUAGACAUUGGUGACCAAAACUGGACACCAUACUCCAGCUGAGGCCUAACCAGCACUGAGCAGAGUGGUACUAUCGCCUCCCAUGACUUGCCUGCUAUACCUCUUUUCAUGCAACCUAAAAUUGCAUUUGCUUUUGUGCAACAGCAUCGCACUGCUGACUCCUGCUGAGGUUGUGAUCCACCACAGCUCCCAGAUCCUUCUCAGCAAUGGUGCUGCCAAGCUGGUUAUCUCCCAUUCUGUAUCUGUGCAUUAGUUUUUUCUUCCCUACCUUACAUUUGUCUUUGUUGAAUUUCAUUUUGUCGUCUAUAGCCCAGUUCUCCAAUUUAUCAAGAUCCCUCUGAAUCUUAGCUCUAUCCUCCAAAGUGUUGGCAAUGCCCCCAGCUUUGUGUCAUCUGCACAUCUUUUCAGCAUGCUCUCUAUUCCUAUAUCCAGGUCAUUAAUAAAGACGUUAACACCAGACCCA